GAUGAACGCUGGCGGCGUGCCCAAUACAUGCAAGUCGAGCGAACGGACGAGAAGCUUGCUUCUCUGAUGUUAGCGGCGGACGGGUGAGUAACACGUGGAUAACCUACCUAUAAGACUGGGAUAACCUCGGGAAACCGGAGCUAAUACCGGAUAAUAUUUUGAACCGCAUGGUUCAAAAGUGAAAGACGGUCUUGCUGUCACUUAUAGAUGGAUCCGCGCUGCAUUAGCUAGUUGGUAAGGUAACGGCUUACCAAGGCAACGAUGCAUAGCCGACCUGAGAGGGUGAUCGGCCACACUGGAACUGAGACACGGUCCAGACUCCUACGGGAGGCAGCAGUAGGGAAUCUUCCGCAAUGGGCGAAAGCCUGACGUAGCAACGCCGCGUGAGUGAUGAAGGUCUUCGGAUCGUAAAACUCUGUUAUUAGGGAAGAACAUAUGUGUAAGUAACUGUGCACAUCUUGACGGUACCUAAUCAGAAAGCCACGGCUAACUACGUG
RNAcentral lists this ribosomal RNA (497 nucleotides) under uncultured bacterium. RNAcentral's name for it is "partial 16S ribosomal RNA". It matches the Rfam family "Bacterial small subunit ribosomal RNA", at positions 28 to 507 of the family's 1533-position model. The record is from RNAcentral.